This 5222-nucleotide long non-coding RNA is filed under the name Olea europaea (common olive). Its description in RNAcentral is "long non-coding RNA (OEUR_LNC005576)". Lineage: Eukaryota; Viridiplantae; Streptophyta; Magnoliopsida; Lamiales; Oleaceae. The record is from RNAcentral.
CCCCAACUUCCUCAGCCCCUUGGCCAGACACUCCGCCUGAAACGUCGGCGACCUGUCGGAGCUGUCCGUGAUUGAACCGCCGAAAAAGAGCAGGUCCGGCACGUAAACUGAGUACUUUUUUGUCAAUGAACCCACCUGGAAUUGCCAGGUGACAAUGCCGUCGGCCGCAAAGCCGUGCACCAGUACCACCACGGGUUUUGUUGGUUUGGCAGUGGAGUCGGCGGAGGCCUCAGUGGUUUUAGAUUUUUUUGGCUUUUGGAUUGUUUCAGAGGGGACCCAAAUGCUCAGAACCGUGCCUGGUUCGAUCUCGAUUGUGUGAGGUCGAAUCCCGGCCAUUUUCACCAGGCCAUACAACAGUGACCUUAGAGCUGCAACCAGGUUCACCAUCACCGUGCGUGUUAGUGCUACGGACAGCAAGUGAGAGGGAAUUUAACCAAGGAAAAAAGAGCGUAGGUGUUUGGCUGUUCCGCUGCUUCCUUGAUCAACUAUUUUGUGACCACUCAUUUUCAAUUAUAAAUUUCUAAUUUUCACAUUGUAAAUUUUAUCUCAUCCUGAUCUUCGUUUAUGUUUUCAUGUAUUUUAGAGUGUAUUUGAUUUGCUGUUUUCAAUUUUUAGUUUUUGUAAAAUAUUAAAAAUGUGUUUGGUCUGAUUUUUUGAACAUAUAUUUUCAAUUACAAGAAUAAAUUUAUAAAAUAAAACUCAAAAAAGCAUUUUUGACAUUUUGAUUAUUUUCGUUGAAAAUUCUGAAAAUAUUCAUGGAAAACAUAUGUUUAAUGAAAUUUGCUUAGAUAUUCUUGAAGUGGAACUUCUGACAAUAUGAUUCCAAUAUUGACACUUUCCUCGUAGGUCCCUUGCUCCACAGAGAGAAUUCAGCAGCUUGUUGAGCUGAUGAUCACAAGAUAGAAUAAUCAAGAAAAGGACAAGAACAUCUCCCGUGCGAUUGUGUUGGGUGAUAAUCAUUUAGCCCUAUCCGAUCCACAUUAUUUGAAAAAAAAAACGUUUUUAAACAAUAAUUUCAUAUCAUUUUAAUUAUACAUUCUUGAAUAAAAUAAUAUUACACAUAAAUUUAAAAAUUUUUCUUAUAUUUUAACCAAACAUUUCUCAUCAACUCACUAUUUAAAAAUACAUUUUUCUUUUUGAAAAUAAUGUGACUCAAAGAAGGGCUAUGUUUAAUUGCUACAGAGCAUCCACUGUAAAUUUAAUUUAACUUUUUUUCUUUUUUUUCUUUUUUCCAUUAUUACUUUGGUUAAUUGUUUAAAUAUCUGUUGCUUAUGACCUGGUUUAUUUGCAGACCUAAAAGGUAAUGAAUGAAAUGCAAGGACAUAAAUCUUGAACGACAGGUGAUGCUUCUGUUCAUAAAAUUUGUGAAAAAUAUCAGUAAAUGGGGAUGCAUUUUUUAAAAUGCUCAAAACAUGGUAAACAAAUGUUAGAUUUCUAACCAACCGAGGAAUUCCCUCCGUAUAAAGAAUAUUAGGGCGAGUCUCCAUUAUGUGUAUCAUAGUAGAGAGAAGACAUAAAGAUGCAAGAAUUCAAAACAUAUUGUAAUUCUCUUCUUCGGUAUGAUGUAAUUUCGACGGAUGCAUAUAGAUCUCACAUUAAGAGUGAAGGCAUGUGAAUUCUUUCAAGGCAAGGGGCGGCCUGAUUCGACAUUGUUGUUUACUCUGAUCCAGUCGAGGUGGUUCUCGUUUACCAACACGUAGGUGGUCUAAAUUCCUAUGACCGAGUCUUUCAAGUUAUGUCGUGUGUUAUUUUUGUUUUUCUUUCUUUUUCUGUAUGAUUAAUUGCUCUUGGUAAUACGGAUUAUUCCUUUAAUCCAUAACAAAUAGUAUUGCAACAUUGCUUAGUAAAGUUCCGAUGCUGAAACAUAAAUGUUCUUUUUCAUUUGUUUAACCAAAAUUUCUUAGUAACGUUGUGUUUAAUUAGUCCCUGCAUCAUCAUGUAGUUGAAUCACUUGCUUUUUUUAUCUUCAAAUCUUCUAACUUACUAUACUCUAAUGGCCAAGAACUCAUUACAAUGGUAGGAGUUUAUUGUUUCAAUCCAAGUGCGAGAUUCCUACACUUAAAAGACGGUUUUAGACCAUUUUCAUUCACGAAAAUUACAUAUUUUCGUCCAUAUCUUCUUCUUCUUUCAUAUGUAAAGGUCUUAAGAAAAUUGAAGGAAGUUUAUACUCCGAGAUCAUAAACGAAGCUAGAAUUUUCACACAUAGCCGAUCCUGGGCCGAGGCAUUUGAGGCCUACGCCUCAGGCCCAAAAUCAAAGGGGCCUAAUUGACCACUAACCACUUGCUCGCCGGCCGCUCGGGCUCCGCGUUUCAAGUUCGUUAUCCUAACCGUCUCCUCUCCUCCACCAGGAGCCUGGCCCCUUCUUCUAUCUUAUCUACUGCCUUGCUCCUCGGCUCCGGGUUUUUUAUUUAUUUAUUUAUUUAUUAAGGGUUUAGAGAGUUAAAGGCAAAAUUGAUUUUCCAUUCGUUUUUCCUCAUGCCUGUGACAAUGUGAACGAUGAUCCAUUUUAAUUUCAUCAAGACAAGGUCACAAAUUUUUUAAAACAACUCUAGAGUUUGUAUGUCAUUUUAAUUUUGUAUUGUUUCCGUAAAUUUGUAAUGCUUAAAUUUUUGCGUAAAUAAUCGAAAAUGUUACUAGAUGUGCAAAAUGGAAAAUAGGAAUUCGUUCAAUAUAUCCUGAUCCAAGAAUCUGUGUCCUACUUGAACCUGCAUCACGUUUGGUAUCUAUUUACUAUUUAGUGUCCCUGACUAGCAUAAGGUAAUAGGACAUUGUGUAAUGAUGAAAUUUUUAUUUCAGGCUUAUGAAUUGUGACGGUGGAAUUCUCAAGGGUGUGAUUCCAUAAUUUUCAUUGAAAUUUUACUUCUCAAUUCAACAACGACUUGAUGUUUGAAUCCUUGUCGGCUUAUAUAAUGAUGGCCUGAUCGGUUUAUAUGAUUGGUUAUUAUAUGAUUAAAAUUGCAUAGGCGUACGUAGUAACUAUAUUGAAAACUCUAAUUGUGAGAUAAUUGAGAUAUUUCGUAAUUGUCUUUUAGGUUAAUCGUUGGGCAUUAGGUUGCAUAAUAUAUCGUUGAACUAAUAUAUUUGUUCAUUAUUUUAAUGUUAAGUUUUAAGUUAGUAAUAGAAUGCAAGAUAUACCGUUGAAUUUUGUAUUUACGUUGAUUCCGUCUGGGGGCCCAAUUUAUGAACUUCGCCUCGGGCCCCGACAAUCACAUGACUGACCCUAUUUUCACAUAAAGAUGAAAAUUUGAACGAGAGACAAACUAUAUAUGUAUUAAUGUAUAAAAAUUAUUAUAUAAUUUCUAAACUUGAGAAAAAUUUAAAAAAUGCUUUAGGAUCUGUCACUCCCACCUCCCUCCCUGCAUCCACACAAAAGAGUUUCAUAGUUUGAAUUCAAAUCUAAAUCAAUCUCACCAAUCCAUUCUCUAACCUUUUUUAACAUCAAUCAAUAGCAUGAAUAAUGAAUUAAUACACCAAAGUCAUAGUGUUCUAUGACAUAUAAAAAAAUUAAAUAUCCAUUAUUUUUACAAAAGGAAAUUAAGGAGCAAAAUGAGUGGAGACUUGAAUUAAACUUCAUAUUUGGCUUGAUUUGCAUGUGCAUGGAAGGAAGCAAGAAAUUUGUUGAGACGCCUAUUGUAGACGCAUGGUCGUUCUAGGUGAACCAAAUGUCCUGCUUUCUCUAUGCCUUCAAUUGUAGCAUUGUCUCCGAGCUCCCUAUUUCAUGUAAAACAAUUUAACAAAUAUCAAGUAAAAUUUCACGUUUGUUAAAUCAAACAUCACAAGUAAUCACGUCUUGUCCUAACAUGGGUUAUCGUCCCUAAACGGGUUCAAUAGGACAUGCUUAGGACCGAGAAAGGUCAACUCCAUCUAAAAUGUUAACAAGUCGUCAGAAUUUAAGAUUAGUAUUCUCAUUCGAGCCAUUUUGAAGAACAUGUUAAAACUUACUCUUUCAUCUUCUGUGCAAGUUCCAGCUUGAAAAUCUGAUCAUUCUUGCCCCAAAGAAGAUGUAUCCUCUGUAAAAAAGACCUCAAAAUUUGGGUGAAAAUUAAUUAAAAAUAAUUACUUGGGUUAAACUUAGUUUAAAAGCCUAUGGUGAAAUAUACACCUGUGGAAACUCUGGGAUGUUAGUAUCUUUAUUGCUAACCACAAGACCUUCCAGCAACUCUUCCCUCUCUUUUCUGUUGUUGAACAUCACCUAUCAUCAAUGCAAAGUUAAACCACAUCAUUUUAAAUUUAUUUAAAUUAAUAAUCUUUUUUUUUUUUUUUUUUUUUUACAGUGACGUUACAGAAAAAAGAGACGACAGUACACAUAUUGCUUUUACGUCGUUGAUGAUGCAGGAAAAAACCAAUUAUGUUUGACUUAGUUUCUGUGCCUGUAUUCCCAAGAUUGAGUAAAGCAAAAGAACAAAUAUUGUGGUUAGUAAAGUGAAUCGAGAUGUUAGUUCUAUGGGUCGAACUUGUUAUUGUUUCAAAUUCUAUCGUAUGGACUGCGAACCAUAGAGCCAACUGCCAUUACCAAGGUCGACGAAAACUAGAUCCAUGAUGAUUGAUGGGUCAGACCAAUCCAUCCCGGUUUUGGACUGUCCAGGGUACGGUGGAUAUAUCGACAAACGUAAUGAAAAGAAAUAUUCGGUUUGACCGUUGCAACUAACCUCAAGAAAGUCCUUGUGAAGCCGAUCAGGGAACCAAAGCUUCUUAUGAGCGGCAACUUUGAGAAGUGCCCGGCAGCCCUUAACGGUAGUCGGCAACAAAAGCUCCGCCGAUGAAUUAAACCCAAGGCUGCUAAGUGUUGUAUGGCUAAUGGAGUCCGUCAUAGCCAGAAUUGAACCAGAAACCACCAGUGCUUCCACCAAAUCAGGGUACAAUUCUGCCAUCUUAAACGCAACCAUACCGCCGUAGCUAAAUCCAACCAACGUGCACUUCUCAAUCCCCAACUUCCUCAGCCCCUUGGCCAGACACUCAGCCUGAAACCUCGGCGACCUGUCGGAGCUGUCAGUGACUGAACUGCCGAAAAAGAGCAGGUCCGGCACGUAAACUGAGUACUUUUUUGUCAAUGAACCCACCUGAAAUUGCCAGGUGACAAUACCCUCGGCCGCAAAGCCGUGGACUAGUACCACUACGGGUUUCGUUGGUUUGACAGUGGUGGCGACCUCGGCGGUUUUAGAUUUUUUUGGCUUUUGGAUUGUUUCAGAGGGGACCCAAAUGCUCAUAACUGUGCCCGGUU